This 112-nucleotide small RNA is filed under the name Romboutsia ilealis. RNAcentral's name for it is "yybP-ykoY". Lineage: Bacteria; Bacillati; Bacillota; Clostridia; Peptostreptococcales; Peptostreptococcaceae. The record is from RNAcentral.
GUUCCCGAUAAAGGGGAGUAGCUUUCACAUUAGUGAUAAUCAAUCGUCACUUCGGAUAAUAUCCCGGUUGAUUAGCGAGUAUAUACUUGUUAGCAAGACCUUUAACGUAUAU